UCUGGUGUCAGCCGCCGCGGUAAAACCAGCACCUCAAGUGGUCAGGAUGAUUAUUGGGCCUAAAGCAUCCGUAGCCUGCUUUGUUAGUUUUCGGUUAAAUCCAUACGCUCAACGUAUGGGCUGCCGGGAAUACUGCAAAGCUAGGGAGUGGGAGAGGUAGACGGUACUCGGUAGGAAGGGGUAAAAUCCUUUGAUCUAUUGAUGACCACCUGUGGCGAAGGCGGUCUACCAGAACACGUCCGACGGUGAGGGAUGAAAGCUGGGGGAGCAAACCGGAUUAGAUACCCGGGUAGUCCCAGCUGUAAACUAUGUAAACUCGGUGAUGCAUUGGCUUGAUGCCAAUGCAGUGCCGCAGGGAAGCCGUUAAGUUUGCCGCCUGGGAAGUACGUACGCAAGUAUGAAACUUAAAGGAAUUGGCGGGGGAGCACCACAAGGGGUGAAGCCUGCGGUUCAAUUGGAGUCAACGCCAGAAAUCUUACCCGGAGAGACAGCAGAAUGAAGGUCAAGCUGAAGACUUUACCAGACAAGCU
This 530-nucleotide ribosomal RNA is filed under the name uncultured Nitrososphaerota archaeon. RNAcentral describes it as "bacterial SSU rRNA". It matches the Rfam family "Archaeal small subunit ribosomal RNA", at positions 451 to 981 of the family's 1478-position model. The record is from RNAcentral. Lineage: Archaea; Thermoproteati; Nitrososphaerota.